Molecule: non-coding RNA, 135 nt
Organism: Triticum aestivum (bread wheat)
Lineage: Eukaryota; Viridiplantae; Streptophyta; Magnoliopsida; Poales; Poaceae
Source: Rfam
CAAAUACUCCCUCCCUCCGGAAAUACUUGUCAUCAAAAUUGAUAAAAUGAAAUGUAUCUAGACGUAUUUUAGUUUUAGAUACAUCUCUUUUUAUCCAUUUUGAUGACAAGCAUUUUCGAACAUAGGGAGUAUUUA